GACGAACGCUGGCGGCGUGCUUAACACAUGCAAGUCGAACGGAAAGGCCCUGCAUUUGUGGGGUGCUCGAGUGGCGAACGGGUGAGUAACACGUGAGUAACCUGCCCUUGACUUUGGGAUAACUUCAGGGAACUGGGGCUCAUACCGGAUAGGAGCUCCUGCUGCAUGGGGGGGGUGGGAAAGUUUCGGCGGUUGGGGAUGGACUCGCGGUUUAUCAGCUUGUUGGUGGGGUAGUGGCUUACCAAGGCUUUGACGGGUAGCCGGCCUGAGAGGGUGACCGGCCACAUUGGGACUGAGAUAGGGGCCAGACUCAUACGGGAGGCAGCAGUGGGGAAUAUUGCAAAAUGCGCGGAAGCCUGAUGCAGCAACGCCGCGUGCGGGAUGACGGCCUUCGGGUUGUAAACCGCUUUAGACUGUGACGAAGCGUGAGUGACGGUAAUGGGUAAAGAAGCACCGGCUAACUACGUG
Molecule: ribosomal RNA, 468 nt
Filed under: uncultured bacterium
Lineage: Bacteria
Description: partial 16S ribosomal RNA
Rfam family: Bacterial small subunit ribosomal RNA
Source: RNAcentral